CAUUCGCGUUUCGCUAUUGACAAAAUUGUGUAUGCUAGACAAUAAUUGUAUUGAUGUUCAUCCUUGUGUUGUAUAUUAAUAUAUGUGUUGCUACAUACCUAUUUUAAGUCUGAUGGUGGACGCGUGCAUUUUUCUUCUGGUAGGACGUUGCAAUCCGUUAGGAUAAUUAUCGAUCUAUGAUGUUUAGUGGUUUAGUUCAUUAAUACAUAUUUAUUUAUGAUAAUAUUAAUGAAGCCAUACAAUCUGAUCGAUUUACCUGACGGUAAUUUAAUGGUUAAGAGUCGCUAUAAAUUAUUAGCGUUAGAGGUUGAACAAGUAUAUAAAUUGUGUAAAGGCAAUAUUAUUAUUCGUAGUAGUGUUGUUCCCGGUAAUCGGUAUUUAUAUCAAUUCCGGGCCGUUUAUUUACUGUUUGUUUAACAUAUCUCUAACAGACUUUAUUAUUUUUUAAAUAAAACCAAUUGGCAACGCUAUAGCUUUGGGUAAUUUCAGGACCCGUCUUGAAACACGGACCAAGGAGUCUAGCAUGUUCGCAAGCCAUUGGGAUAUCAAACCUAUAGGCAUAAUGAAAGUAAAUAUUAUUUCAUGUUACAUGAAAUAAAGGGAAGAUAAAUAAAGUUUUCGUAUUUAUUAAUAUGUUGCUUUAUUUCGCAUUCCCGGGGC
This 660-nucleotide ribosomal RNA is filed under the name Dinoplatypus flectus. Its description in RNAcentral is "partial large subunit ribosomal RNA". The record is from RNAcentral. Lineage: Eukaryota; Metazoa; Arthropoda; Insecta; Coleoptera; Curculionidae.